Non-coding RNA from Arachis ipaensis, 2558 nucleotides. NCBI's taxonomy places the organism in Eukaryota, Viridiplantae, Streptophyta, Magnoliopsida, Fabales, Fabaceae. The record is from RefSeq and is a predicted model, not a curated record.
UCUUAACCUUGAAUAAUUGCAAGUUAUCAUGUUAAAUUGUUACACUUUUCACUCCAAAAUAUGCCAUUUUCAAAUUUGAUACAUUUGUAACUCAAUGUAUGUAGAUACAACUCACUUCCAAAUACUAAAUUUUGAAAGUGGCAUGUUUUGGAAUCGAAUAACUAAUAACUAUCAAACAAAUUUCCAUUUGAAUGAAAAGUGUUCGUAUAGCAUGAUUCAAUAUCAAUUGUUUACCGAAUAUCAUUUGUACAUGGCAUGGUGGAAUCUGAGGCUGUCGCCAUAUGGGUAACGUUGUGUUGCGGAAAUAAUGGCCGCAAUGAUGGCAACGUCAUGGCAGUCCACAACGUGAAUGGUGGUGUUGGGUGGAAUUUCUUUUAGCAUUUGAGGGUUUUUUGUCAUUUAGAAAACCCUAAAAUCUAACGUUAGUAAGGCUUUAUUUGAUUUAUACCAUGAAACAUAGACACGAUAUUUGUGUGUGUGUAUUGUUUUGGCAAAACUAAUUAAACACGGCACACAAAUAUUCAAAAAGACUAACACCCACCAUCACUACCUCCACAAUCUCAUCUCAAAUCACCAUUCUCUAUCACUCUUAUUCAAUCAUGUUCAAUUAAAACAAAACAACAAUGAUUAUCAAUACAAAAUGCAAUUUGUUUAAUUAGAUAAUAAACAACAAUAACAAGAUGUUUGAGAGAAAGAUAUGGGGAGUAAUGUGGUCACAGCAGAGGAAAAGGGCAACUGGAGGAGAUCAGAUCUGGCAGUGGUGGGUAGUGGAGACAACUAAAACGAAGCAGAUCCAAGCGUGACCCAGAUGCCAUGUAACCCGCAUGAUAAAGACAGAGCAGAUCUUGAUGUGCUGAACAUGUAGGAGGAAGAGUUGGUAGAGAGAAUAAGGAAGAGGGAAAUGCAGAGGAACAUGAAGACAAAGGCGACGAGGAGGAUGAUCAAGUCAGAAGAGGGGGCAUGAUGCAGAUUGCUAAGAGAGGCAAGGUGGGAAGAGGGAGGAGGGGAGGUUGACGGGCUAUGACAAGUAGUAGGGAGGGACGAAGAGGAGAGGUGGCAAAUUUGGGUGAGGGCAAGGAGGAGUAGACGAGGGUGAGAGGAAGGAAGGAAGGAGGAGAAAAGAGGUGGAUUAGGGUUGAAUGUUAAAGGGUAAAAUUGGAAAUAAGAAAAUACAAGGGCAAAAGUGUCAAAAAAAUCCAUGUCCAUGUCUAAAAUUUGUUUCAACUUAAAGGAGAGAUACUAAGAAUAAAUUACCAUUUGUAUUCAUGAAAGAUACAAAUGCGGACAAAUGUAUCCAUAUAAGAAUAAAACGUACAAGGGCAAAAGUGUCAAAAAAAAUCCAUGUCCAUGUCUAAAAUUUGUUUCAACUUAAAGGAGAGAUACUAAGAAUAAAUUACCAUUUGUAUCUAUAAAAGAUACAAAUGCGGACAAAUGUAUCCAUAUAAGAAUAAAACGACAAUUGUACCCACGGAAGAUAGUUUCCGUGUGCCAAGAAUACCCUAAGGGACCAAUUGUGUAACCAACGUCCGGGUACUCUUGGUACACGGAAGCCAUCUUCUGUGGUUAUAAUUGUCGUUUUUAUUAUAUGGAUACAUUUGUCAGCAUCUGUAUCUUUUAUAGGUACAAAUGAUAAUUUAUUCGAGAUACUAAUGUGUACAUUUGUAUGUCACUGUGUCCAUUAAAAAUUUGUGUCUUAUCAAAUAAAUAGUAAAUGCGUGAUACCAUGUCCAUUUCUCAAUUGGACAUCGACACUGACCAAAUAAUUCCUAAGGUUGUGUUUUCUGUAUCAAAACAAUGAAGACACGGACACAGGCCCGUUUGGUAACAAUAGACACAAUGCAGUGGACAGAGACACAAAGACAUAGCAACACAUAGAUAUAAACAUAAACAUACACAUAUUUGGUAACAAUAUACACAAGACACUAAAUUUACAUUCAUAUCAAAAUACUAAAUUUAUCCUCCAUCGGUAACACCACUACCACCCCCAUCAUCUACAACCAUCAUCACUACGACUAUCAAAUUCAUCAUCAUCAUCUAUAGUUAACAAAAAAUCUUGAUAAAUUUCUUAAAAAAAAUGACAGAGAGGGAAAGGCAGUAAUCAUAAUAACAAUCAACUAAAAUUUAAAAAAAAAAUCGAAAGAAUGAGAGAUGGGGGUGACGGCAAUAGAAGGAUAGAGGAAGGCAAUGACGGCUGUGAGUUGUUGGAAGCGAUGGUAGUUACGAAACGGAGGAAGGUGAGUAGGCAAGGGGCUAUGAGUGUUCCUAUGUCGCGAGGGGUGGGCGUUGCGAGAUGUUGGGUCGUAAGGGGUGGAUGACGACGGCGCUGUGAGUUGUUGGGCCGCGAGGGGUGCACGACGACGACUCUACGAUGGCAUUGCGACGGUUGCAGUGGUGGGUGAUAGAGACGAGUGGCAAAAACUGGCGGCAUCAGCGGUGGUAGAGGGGGGAGUGAUUGAGGGAAGAGGGGAGUGGUAGAAGAAGAUGGAGGAGGGAAGAGGGAGGGGGAGAGAGAGAGAGGAAGAAACAUUAUUAGGAUUUAGGGUUAAAAUUGAAAUUUA